Molecule: ribosomal RNA, 216 nt
Filed under: Campeiostachys nutans
Lineage: Eukaryota; Viridiplantae; Streptophyta; Magnoliopsida; Poales; Poaceae
Description: Elymus nutans partial small subunit ribosomal RNA
Rfam family: Eukaryotic small subunit ribosomal RNA (bases 40-216)
Source: RNAcentral
AGAUCAGAAUGUUGGUCAUGCCACAGGUAUGUACUGGUCUCACUGAUUCCUCCUUCCUGAUGAACCGUAAUGCCAUUAAUUUGGUGUUGCGGGGAAUCUGGACCGUUACUUUGAAAAAAUUAGAGUGUUUAAAGCAGGCUCACGCUUGAAUACAUUAGCAUGGAAUAAUGAAAUAGGACGUUUGAUUCUAUUUUGUUGGUUUCUAGGAUCGACGUA